GCACGUUAGCAAGGAGAACGGAUGGCAGUGGGAGUUUACUCGCUAGCCUACGGAUUCUCAGAAAGCUGCCCGAUCUGUGGCCCCUUUUCCGGAGUCUUUUCUUCAUGCAAAAGGCUUGGAUCUGGGCCUGUUCCAGUGAAAGCAGGAUAUCCUUCUCGUCAGACACGUUAAAGGAAAAAGUUUCUUCCAGUCCGCGGCUCAUACACGAGACGCAUGAGGCAGGGACUCCAUACAAUCACGGAUUAUGAAGGGAAAGCCAGCCAUGUCAUAGACAACGGCGCCUUGCUCCCGGACAAGCUAAACACCUUCUUCGCCUACUUUGAGGAAAACAACACAGAGUUGCCGAUGUGGGCCGUCUUGGCCCCUAAGACCCUCACAAACGUGCAGUACCAGUCAAAAAUGCACCAUUGGGAGAAUCUGGUCAGCCCAUCAUCGGAGCACACUGCCUUCCCUCCAGGACAUCUACAGCACUCGGUAUCACAGGAAGGCCAAUCAAUCCCUAUCCCAGUCUGCUGUCCCCACAUGCUUCAAGAUGGCCAC
Molecule: long non-coding RNA, 540 nt
Organism: Salvelinus namaycush (lake trout)
Lineage: Eukaryota; Metazoa; Chordata; Actinopteri; Salmoniformes; Salmonidae
Exons: 3
Source: RefSeq, a predicted model, not a curated record